CCCUACGGGGCGCAGCAGUAGGGAAUCUUCCACAAUGGACGAAAGUCUGAUGGAGCAACGCCGCGUGAGUGAAGAAGGGUUUCGGCUCGUAAAGCUCUGUUGGUAGUGAAGAAAGAUAGGGGUAGUAACUGGCCUUUAUUUGACGGUAAUUACUUAGAAAGUCACGGCUAACUACGUGCCAGCAGCCGCGGUAAUACGUAGGGGGCAAGCGUUGUCCGGAUUUAUUGGGCGUAAAGCCAGGGCAGGAGGUCCAAUAAG
RNAcentral lists this ribosomal RNA (258 nucleotides) under uncultured bacterium. RNAcentral describes it as "partial 16S ribosomal RNA". It matches the Rfam family "Bacterial small subunit ribosomal RNA", at positions 337 to 587 of the family's 1533-position model. The record is from RNAcentral.